Oncorhynchus kisutch (coho salmon) is the source of this 888-nucleotide long non-coding RNA. RefSeq lists it as uncharacterized. The record is from RefSeq and is a predicted model, not a curated record. The transcript is spliced from 2 exons. NCBI's taxonomy places the organism in Eukaryota, Metazoa, Chordata, Actinopteri, Salmoniformes, Salmonidae.
AGCAGUCUUCUUGGCGGUCUUUUUUGGGGAGUCGGUGGAAAUGGGCAUCCCAGUCUCGUCAUAGAGCUUCCUCUUCACUGUACUUUUAAUCUGGACCCUUUGGAAAGAGGAGACAAGAGCUACCUCUGAAAACAUCUCAUUGGACACGUCACCCAGACGCGAAUGGAGCGAAGUAGAGAGAUACAAGGGGUAAGAGACCAAGACCGGGUGAAGGACUACAAUGAUAGAGGGCCAUUAGGAAUGAAAAGAGACCGGGGGGGGUCCUUACACGGUGCGUUCCUUGAUGACAGCGCUGAGAGAGUUCAGGUCAUCACCAAACCUCACCACGGCCGAUCUCAGCUGCCCAAUCUCAGUGUCCGUCCACUUAGCUCUGCAACGACACACAGGGCGUUUCAGAUCCACUAGACUACAUUGCAGUUGCACAGAUCUACAAAUGACCUAGCAUCCUAAAUAACUACACAUUAUGAAUUUGUAGAUUAGUCUGGUCAGUUGGUGAUCAGCGAUUGAUGUCCUUGAACGCAGCCAGAGACGAAAAGAGAGUGGACAUGGCGUGGGCGGGUGUCGAGUGCUUUCUGGUAAUAAUGACGCAACAGCGUUUCCUCAGAAUGACCUCUUGGCGUGGAUAUUCAAGAUGGAGCACAUAUCAUUGUAAUGUGUACAGUGUGCUACAAGUGACACAAGCCCAGAAAUUAAAGUCAUGAUCAGUAGACUUCCAAGUUUAGUCUGAUUUUACAACUCUACAUAAUCGAUACAGAUAUUUAUCUCUAUCUGUAACUUGGUGUGUGUAUUCUCACCCUGCGGGACUGGAGUCAGCUACGGGGUGCAGUUGCAUGGUCAGCUCCCCUAACUUGGUGAAAGCAGCUCCUGCUGCUGAGAAGAUCUCCCCAA